UAUAAAAAUAAUAUUUUAAUAAUAAAAAUAAUAAGAAAUUUUAAGUAUAAAAAUAAAGUACAGUAAUGGAAAAUAAUUUUUAACAUUGAAAAGUAAAAAUAU
This 102-nucleotide ribosomal RNA is filed under the name Orobdella koikei. RNAcentral's name for it is "partial 16S ribosomal RNA". Lineage: Eukaryota; Metazoa; Annelida; Clitellata; Hirudinida; Orobdellidae. The record is from RNAcentral.